Saccostrea cuccullata (small rock oyster) is the source of this 967-nucleotide long non-coding RNA. RefSeq lists it as uncharacterized. The transcript is spliced from 4 exons. The record is from RefSeq and is a predicted model, not a curated record. NCBI's taxonomy places the organism in Eukaryota, Metazoa, Mollusca, Bivalvia, Ostreida, Ostreidae.
UUUUCAGAAAAUGUAGGACUAUCUUUUGUUUUUACUCUCUUUUUCUAUGAUGAUUUCCCUACUGUGAAGCUUUUCUUGUAUAAAGCUCAAUUUCUCUAUGACCACUGAAGUAAACAUCCUGAUGCAUUCAUUCUUGCCAUGUGAAUGUUGAGAGCGUGUUCAUUUUUGAAAUCUCCUUUCUGACAGACAUAUUCCACAGGAUCAGCUGAGAUGUUAUUUCACUGGAUUAUUUAAUGGAUAGGCUUAUUGGGCAUAUAGUUGGAUAUCUCUGUCAUCAACAUGGAAGAUAUGGUUUGUUCCAAACCAUCUAUGGAACAAACCAUCUGUAAUCAAUUCUCUAUGAAGUUCAGACUGUCUGCUGUUCCUUUGGAAAUACACAGUUAGUCAACCAACAUAGAAACACACAAACUUGAAGGAUUCUCUAGUGAGGGCUUAUGGAAAUGAUCUAUGUCUACUCUCAGAAUGGUGAAAGACUUUCAGAUUAUGCAAAGACUAACAGAAUACCCUCUCUUGGAACACUGAAACAAGAAACUCAAACAGGAUGGGGGAUUUAAGAAGAACAGAGAUAAAUAUGAUUUCCAACCAAUUUAACCAGUACGAUCAUAGACUGUGGUUUACAGGAUGACAAAGAAAGGAGCCAGGAUUGUAUCUUUUACUGUCAGACACUGACUAUGGAUAAAGUGUAAUCAUUUAUCAGACUGAGAUCUAGUCAAAUCAAGUAUUGGAAAUAUGAUUUUCUGAUAGCAUGAGCUCUUUAAAAACUAAUUCUCACGGACCUCAAAGUAUCUGAAUGUGACACAUUUAAACCUUUUAUUUUUCAUCUUAUUUUUACAACCCCCUAGAAAUUACACAGAUAUCUAGAUACUGGAUUUGAUGUAAUUAUUACUUUCCUGGAAUUGUAAAUAUAUUUUGUUUGUGUAUGUAUCAUGUUUAAUUUUGAAUUUAAAAUUGGUCUCAAUAAGACCCC